RNAcentral lists this ribosomal RNA (277 nucleotides) under uncultured bacterium. Its description in RNAcentral is "partial 16S ribosomal RNA". It matches the Rfam family "Bacterial small subunit ribosomal RNA", at positions 1225 to 1500 of the family's 1533-position model. The record is from RNAcentral.
CUACAAUGGCGUAACAAAGGGAAGCGAACCCGUGAGGGGGAGGCAAAUCCCAAAAAUAAACGUCCCAGUUCGGACUGUAGUCUGCAACCCGACUACACGAAGCUGGAAUCGCUAGUAAUCGCGAAUCAGAAUGUCGCGGUGAAUACGUUCCCGGGUCUUGUACACACCGCCCGUCACACCAUGGGAGUUGGAAAUGCCCGAAGUCAGUGACCCAACCGCAAGGAGGGAGCUGCCGAAGGCAGGUCCGGUAACUGGGGUGAAGUCGUAACAAGGUAAC